UCUCUCUCUUAUCUCUUUCCUGUAGAGAAGCUCGGACACUGUUUUUCCCCAAUCCACGACACUGCUCCGGCUGAGCGAAAUCCAGGUACCCUACGCUGCUCCGGGCAAAUUUGCUCGCCCCGAACUACUCUGGCGAUGACCUCCCUCUAUAGCCCUGCCUCUCCGCGCGCUGCUUCUUAUCCAUCCCUGUGCGGCCGUGCCCCAUGGCUUCUACCGGCUGCUGCAAGGGAUGGCCGGAGAGUGCACUGCUGCGGGAGAUGACCGAAUACGCCGCUGCUGCACCGCCACACGUCUCUGCUGCUAGUAGCAGGGACACGGCGAACUACACAAGCAGCAGAGCAACGACGAUAUCGAUGAUCCUAACGACAAUGGCAAGCUCGAGUCUCCCCCGACGAGCUCGACCAGGAAUAGGAUGACGGCGAUGUCUCGGAGCAGCACGGUCGACCUCGGCGCCCUCCUGCGCGGUGAAGCCCCACUAGCAAAACCCAAGAUGUUGUCCAACCAAGUUUGUGUAUCCACAUUGCUUCUGAUGGCAUUGAAAGCUUCUACAAAGGCUUCCUCUUCCUCAUACUUAUACAUGCAAGCACUGAAAUCAGCAAGUACAUUUGGUCCCUCCUCGUCUUUUUUCUUAUGAGCUUCACCAUACAUCAAGUCCCGUUGACGCCUGGUUCGCAAGUGGUUCUUGCGAUCACGACAUGUGUAGCCAAGGUUCAGUGGACCACCAACUUGUCGACUUGCUAACUCAUGGGCUCUUCUAGGUACAAUUCCUGAAUCAUCCGCUGUUUCCAUUUCAAAUGCUUGCAAGGCCGAAAUCUUCCGUUGUGAUGGCAUCAAGUGGCUUGUCCCAAGUAAUUGCAAGACAUGGUUGUGUUCAACAACUAACUCAUGCACCUUAUAAUUUUCUGCUUCUCUGUGUAUAGUGAUUCCCAUUCGAACAUUGUAGCUGGUCCUUGUUUCUGCACGAGGACAUUUUGUAUUAUUACCCCUUUUGUCUUUUCUUCUGUAGCCUUCAUUAGAACAGACGUAUCUUGCAGAAGUGAUUACUCCAUCAAGUUUGCUCUUGUUUUCAUAAUUUACCCUUGCAUCAAAACCAGUAUGACCUCCAUAACAUGUCCAAAAGUUCCAAGCCUCUUUUGUGGAAUUAAACUUCAUACCAAUAUGAAGCAUCCAACUAGGAACCACAAUUGUCCUACACAAAUUAAGCAUAACUUAUUUGUUUCUCUGCUUACACUACAAUUAUAAGAUCACAUGGCCUAAUAAGAAUUUAACAAAACUAUUUUUUUGACAAAAAGACUGUAAGGGAACCCCCUACAGUAUAAUUGGUGCAACAAAGCCAAAUUGGAAGUAUCAUGCCUUGAACCUGGGUGGGUGGGAAGGCAUCAGCCCCUUCCCACCACUAGACUAUGCCUUAGUCUGCAAUUUAACAAAACUAUUGGUACCUGUUAGAACCUUGAUACGUCUCCAACGUAUCUAUAAUUUUUGAUUGCUCCAUGCUACUUUAUCUACUAUUUUAGGCAAUAUUGGGCUUUAUUAUCCACUUUUAUAUUA
This is an RNA transcript of Triticum dicoccoides, 1548 nucleotides long. RefSeq lists it as uncharacterized. NCBI's taxonomy places the organism in Eukaryota, Viridiplantae, Streptophyta, Magnoliopsida, Poales, Poaceae. The transcript has 3 exons. The record is from RefSeq and is a predicted model, not a curated record.